GGAGAUUCAUCGUCAAAGUAUCUGGUAUUAGUGCAAGUUAUGAUGUAGUAAAUAAUCCUCGUGGUUAGUAUAUUAUACAUUCUUGUGCUAUUUUGCUGGGUACGUCGGCGUGCACUUCUCCUCUAGUAGAACGUCGCGACCCGUUGAAUGUUGAUCUAUGGCCUAAAUGGUUGCCUUUGAUUUUGCUUGCAUUGUCGGAGACCUUUAGUGUCCUGAUCAUCUGUUCGACGGUAUACAUAUGGUGUAAAGUCGCUUGUUUUAUGGGUUAAAUCCCUGGCAGGUGGGGUUAAAAUUUCGGCAAUAUGGAUCUGACGCCCUCGCUGGUGGAGACUCACUGUGAGGAUGGGGUAUUCUUUAACUGACUUAAUACCGGCCAGGGAUGCGAUUGCUUUGGGUACUUUCCCGACCCGUCUUGAAACACCAACCAAGGAGUCUAACAUGUACGCCAGUCAUUGUGACUUGAAAACAACCCUGAGGCUAAUGAAAAUGAAGGUUGUUGAUGAAUCAUUAAGGAAGAAUGGUUAUCUAUCGAAGUAAUCUGUAUUCCGGGGCA
This 553-nucleotide ribosomal RNA is filed under the name Phanerotoma sp. RK261. RNAcentral's name for it is "eukaryotic LSU rRNA". The record is from RNAcentral. Lineage: Eukaryota; Metazoa; Arthropoda; Insecta; Hymenoptera; Braconidae.